GCCGGGCACCCGGCGCUGUUCCUCAGGCCCGAGGGAUCCCGGGCAGCCGCGCGCUUGGGCCCGGGGCGGAGUGCUCGCGGGUGUGUCCAUCCGUCCAUCCGCCGCCCCCGCCCGCCCCCUGCGGUGGCUCCCUGCUUGCCCAGCUCGGCGGCCGCGCCCGGCAGAUGCGCGGUGCUUGGUCCCGGCCUCCUGCGCCCCGGGCCUCCCGGCCCCGCCGGCCCCGGGCUGGCGGACGGGACCGAGGCGAGCUCCCCGGCCGCGCUCAACACCUGAGGAAACUGGCGGAAAAGUUUGAGAACGAAAAGUCCAAUCGUCUUUCAGCUUCCGCCCUCCCUAUGACACUUCAGCCACGGACUGCUCCAGUACUCAAGUCUGAGAUGCUGACUCUGAUGCAUAUCAUUAAAGAAUCAAAGUUUAGUGAAGAGCUUCCACCCACUCCAGACUCCUUUCCACAACCUCUUCCUGGAGUGGGCAUCUCCUACCUUUAUAGGACAAUGUACCACAUUGAAAAAUUUUGCCUUUUCCCCAGCAAGCCACUCCACAGGCUGUCAGACCUGCCUGUUCCUGACAAGGGCUGUUCUUGUCAUGGGCGGACCUCAGUUUCAGGGGGACGGCGAUGAGGCUGGAGCUCAGAGGGAUGGAGAAGCCUCUGAAGCUGCAACAGCAGGAGCAGAAGGCACAGCCGCAGGGCCCUCCGGAAAGAACAGAGAAGAGAAGUGGAAGCUGCACACCUGAGCCAGGAUGUUCUCUGUGAUGUCAGGUGAGCUGUGCCUCCCCCUCCAACCUACCCAGCACAGACACGCUGGAAAGUGGCUUUUCAAAUGCCUUUGACUCUUAUCUCUCUUACAUCACCCUCUGAAAUGAAAUCUCAAACACUUUAGUGGGGUUUGAUGCGGAGAACAGUAAGCAGAUGGAGGUUCAGGCAGAAACAGAACAGGAGUCAAAAGCCCUGGAGAAAAGCAUGAAUGGGCUUGGAGAGGACAAAUAAAAUAGCAGAGACAUUUAUACGGGUCUCCCCUACCUCUCAGAACAAAACAAUUAUGAGAUGAGAGAGGCAUGGAUGGGAGGAAAUUCUUUCAUUUUUCACGUUGCAGGGUAGAGAGAUCCAAUAGCCUGUUUAUGAAGAACAAUAAAGAAGAUACAUGAACUCAGUAAAGAGGUUGUUACAAAUAUAUCG
Molecule: long non-coding RNA, 1177 nt
Filed under: Capra hircus (goat)
Lineage: Eukaryota; Metazoa; Chordata; Mammalia; Artiodactyla; Bovidae
Description: lncRNA (ENSCHIG00000004737.1)
Source: RNAcentral